GACGAACGCUGGCGGCGUGCUUAACACAUGCAAGUCGAACGGAAGGGCCCUGCUUUUGUGGGGUGCUCGAGUGGCGAACGGGUGAGUAACACGUGAGUAACCUGCCCUUGACUUUGGGAUAACUUCAGGAAACUGGGGCUAAUACCGGAUAGGAGCUCCUGCUGCAUGGUGGGGGUUGGAAAGUUUCGGCGGUUGGGGAUGGACUCGCGGCUUAUCAGCUUGUUGGUGGGGUAGUGGCUUACCAAGGCUUUGACGGGUAGCCGGCCUGAGAGGGUGACCGGCGACAUUGGGACUGAGAUACGGCCCAGACUCCUACGGGAGGCAGAAGUGGGGAAUAUUGCACAAUGGGCGGAAGCCUGAUGCAGCAACGCCGCGUGCGGGAUGACGGCCUUCGGGUUGUAAACCGCUUUCGCCUGUGACGAAGCGUGAGUGACGGUAAUGGGUAAAGAAGCACCGGCUAACUACGUG
Molecule: ribosomal RNA, 468 nt
Filed under: uncultured bacterium
Lineage: Bacteria
Description: partial 16S ribosomal RNA
Rfam family: Bacterial small subunit ribosomal RNA
Source: RNAcentral